Molecule: ribosomal RNA, 253 nt
Filed under: uncultured bacterium
Lineage: Bacteria
Description: partial 16S ribosomal RNA
Rfam family: Bacterial small subunit ribosomal RNA
Source: RNAcentral
UACGUAGGCAGCGAGCGUUGUUCGGAGUUACUGGGCGUAAAGCGUGCGCAGGCGGUUGUGCAAGACAGGUGUGAAAUCCCCGGGCUUAACCUGGGAACUGCACUUGUGACUGCACGGCUGGAGUACGGCAGAGGGGGAUGGAAUUCCGCGUGUAGCAGUGAAAUGCGUAGAUAUGCGGAGGAACACCGAUGGCGAAGGCAGUCCCCUGGGCCUGUACUGACGCUCAUGCACGAAAGCGUGGGGAGCAAACAGG